AAAAACAAAGGAAACACAAUCACCAACACACAAUCUCAAGGUACAAAAUCUACGGUUUGCAUAUUAUUUCUGCCUACUCUGAGCCACUCAAAGUCUAUCCUGUAUGAUCCUAACUCUAUCCAAAGACUCAUGAAGCAAGUUCGUACCUUGAGGUCUCACCUCAGAAAUAUCAAACCCACCAACUAGACAGAAAUAACACCUAACAUAAAAAUCCUCAAAUAGAG
Molecule: long non-coding RNA, 224 nt
Filed under: Capsicum annuum
Lineage: Eukaryota; Viridiplantae; Streptophyta; Magnoliopsida; Solanales; Solanaceae
Description: long non-coding RNA (CANN_LNC012585)
Source: RNAcentral